This 248-nucleotide unclassified non-coding RNA is filed under the name uncultured fungus. Its description in RNAcentral is "partial contains 18S rRNA, ITS1, 5.8S rRNA, ITS2 and 28S rRNA". The record is from RNAcentral. Lineage: Eukaryota; Fungi.
AGGGAUCAUUUGAGAAUUGGGGAUGCUCUGGCCAGGCUGUAUGGCCUGGUCGGGUGGACCUGCAACUUGGACUGGACUGGUAUGGUCGUGGAUUCGGCCCGUGGUGGCAGUGACUGGUGACAGCGCUGUGCCUAUUGAUGAGUCACGUGAUGCUGCCCCACCGCUUCGUGCAAACGAAGCGCCGGCGAAAAAGAGAACGAUGAAUAUACAAAUCCAUACAACUUUUGGCAAUGGAUCUCUUGGUUCUC